RNAcentral lists this long non-coding RNA (4309 nucleotides) under Capsicum annuum. RNAcentral describes it as "long non-coding RNA (CANN_LNC007822)". The record is from RNAcentral. Lineage: Eukaryota; Viridiplantae; Streptophyta; Magnoliopsida; Solanales; Solanaceae.
CUUAACCAUAAAAUUAAGUUUCUUCUCUCUAUUUUUCUAUUUCUCUCCUCUUUUUAGGGUAAUCCCAGUUGACUCGUAUUUUAUUCUUUUAUCUCUCCUCUUUCACCUAAGGAUUUGAAUCUCAUCACCAAACCAGUCAAUAUAUUUUCUUUUCUUUCAACACAAACAUUAGUCGUCCACCUCUUUUUGGUGUUUUGAUCCCUUUGUUUUUUACAUAGAAGGUAUGGUAUACUAUUCUGGGGCUCUCUACAAUUCUUGUCUUCUUGUCUUCUUCUUUGCCUGUUUCAUGAAAUUUUUCAUAUUUUCCUGAUGAAAAUUGUGUAUAUCAUAUUUUUACAAUAGUUAUUUAAAUUAGUUAUUUACAUAUGUUGUUAUUUUUCAUUUACCCAUUACCCAUAUCAUAUUUAUUUAUGAACUAUUUUUUAUUAAGGAAAUGAAAGAAUCACGAUCCUUGAGUUCUUCAAACAGAUGGCUCAUUUGUUGCAGUGGAUUGGUUAUCUAUUGGAAGAACUCAAAAUAUGGAUUUUGUUUUUCAAACAAAUGUCCCAUCUGUUGCAACAAAUUGGUCAUCUGUUGGAAGAACUUAAAAAGCCUUGUUGGCACUAUUGGUGUUGUUUGUUUGUUUGGUAUUGGUUUUGUUAUUUGUUUUAUUUUGUUGAUAUUAUUGGUGUUGCUCGUAUUGUUGGUAUUGGUGUGGGUAUUCAUGUUGGUGGUGUUGGUGUUGCAAAAGGUUAAACAUAUGGUGGAAGAUAUUAAAAUAGGUCUUCCAGCAGAUGCCCCAUCUGUUCCAACUGAAGAAUCAACUGGUGGAAUAAAUCAAAAUAGCUCUUCUAAUAGAUGACCCAUAUAUUGCAACAAAUGGUUCACCUAUUGGAAGAAAUCAAACCACUAGAAAGAAUGGUUUGAUUUAUUCCAACAGAUCACCCAUUUAUUACAAUAGGUUGGUCAUCUGUUGCAAUAGAUGGGUCAUCAGUUGGAAUUCUAAUUUUAAUGUGUUGUAUUUAUUGAAUUUUGUGUUACCCUUUUUUAAAAUAAUACAGACAUCAAUUGUAUUAUUUUUUACUUUUCUCUUGUUUUUAAAUAAAAGAUGUCUCCCAAAAGAAAAUAAAGUGAAAGUGGAUCAAUUUUUGAUCGACCAAAAAAAAGCUAGAGUAUAGAUGAGUUUUGAGGAAUAAAGUACUUGCAGAUGGAACCAAUUCAUAUGUGAGAGGUAUGUAUUACUUAUUAGGUUAUCAUGACUGCAUACAGUACAAUGAUUUUAUAAAUUUUCUUUUUCACUGAUUAGGGAUUGAUCCUUCAAGCAAGAUAUUGAGUUUUAUAGUUAUGUUUGAUAGGUCCAAACAUAUAAAGCUGAGAGACCAAAAAUAUGGUGUCGAUACCCUGUUACAAUUUAAUAAUUGUUUUGCUAAUGUUUAUGUGUCAUGUUUUGGUAAGGUAUGAAGAUUUAAUGGUAGUGUAGAGAUUCAAUAGUGAUUGGAUUAAAUAUAAGGGUUCAAUGGAGUUUUGAAAGGCCUCCAAAGCCUCUUACAGCAAACAAGAAUGAAAAUCCCAAAGAAAUUGCCCUGGUCCAAAUUUUUAUAGAUGGGUUGCUCGAGGAGAUGAUUAUACAGUAGAUGGUGCUUGGAGAAUAUAUACGAGAGAUGGGGGAGUUGCUGAACACUAUAUCAACCCAGACAUUAUUAAAGAAAAGAAACACAGCAUAGCAAGGACUUUGUAGAAAAUCUGGCCGAUGAAAUUGACAUGUAAAAUGAAAAUUUGAAUAUGCUGCAAAAAUAAAAGUGUGUUCUAAAAUCAAAAUCCAUAACUUGUUGUUGAAAAUAAAAAUGGUAUAGUGGACUAAAUUGUGCUCUUUGCCAGUAACUAUGACUAGUGAGCAUGGUCUAAAUGAUCAGCCCCAAGAUAUAGAUUCCCAAGUCUAAGGAAGCUUCUUUGCGAGCACUAAUGGGAUGAUGAACAAUCAAGAAUGAAACUUGCGAUAGAACUACUGAAGAUAAAAUAAUGGAUCAAGCCAAGGUGUCGAUUUAUGAAGUUAAAGUUGCAUCUUAUGCCUUCAAUUUGUAGUUCUACUCAAGUCAUUAAAAAUGGACACAAAAAAGGUCUGAAGUUGAACAGAAAUCACAUGCCUUUUUGUUUCCAUUUUAAUUGACUUGAGUCGAACCACGAACAGAAGGCAUAAGAUGCAAAUUUAACUUCAAAAAUUGCCACAUUGGCUUGAUCCCUUAUUUAUCUUCAGUAGUUCUAUUGCAAGAUUCAUUCUUGAUUGUACAUUUUUCCUCCCUCGGUGUGCACAAAGAAACUUUCUUGCACUUGUAUUUUUUUCUUGGAGGUGAUCUAUUAGACCACACUAACUAGUUGUAGUUACUUAGAAAAGUGUAAGUCUCCAAUCCACUUUACCAUUUUUCUUUUCAAUAAUGAAUGACGAAUUUUCAUUUUUGAAUACACUUUCAUACUAGCAACUCAUUCAGAUUUUCAAUUUUCAAGCCAAUUUCAUUGGCCAGAUUCAUUAUAAGUUCAUUGCUACCCUAUGUUUCUUCUAUAAUAAGGUUUGAGAUGAUAUCGUCUUUAUUACCUCCCACUUCUCUUGAAGAUAUUCUCCUAAAUAACAUUCUGUUUUAUAAUCAGCACCCCGAGAAACCCAUACAUAUAAACUUUCAACGGGGGAAUUUCUAUUGGAUGUCCAUUCUUGUUUGCUGCAGUAAGAGGAUUUGAAGGCCUUCUAAAACUCCAUUGCACCAUUAAAAUCAGUCCAAUCACUUUUGAAUCACUAUACUGCCAACAAAUCUUGAUCCCUUUUCAAAAAAUAACAUAUAAACUUUAGCAAAAUAGUCAUUAAAUUAUAACAGGGUAUCGAUACCAUCUAUUUGGUCUCUCAACCUUAUCAGUUCGGACCUAUCACACUUAAAUGUAAAAUACAGGAUCUUAUUUGAAUGAUCAAUUCCUAAUCGAUAAAAAAUAACAUUCACAAAAUCAUUAUACAUUAUGUGUGUUGUUCUGAUAACUUGAUCAGUAAUAAAUACCUCCCACAUAUGAAAGUGAAUUCAUCCAUCUGCACGCACCUUAUUCUUCCUACCCCAUCAAUGAUAGAAAAAACUAUUUUAUUUUCAGUUCUUAUCAUAAAGUAGUCUACAAAACUACGGAGGCUCAAACGGUAAACAUCUUUAAAAUCCUUUUUCUUUUCUUUUCGGAAGGGUAUCAACAAUUUCAAAAACUAAAAACCUAUUGGAGAAACCCUUUCUAUUACUGGAUUGAGUUCUUCCAACAGAUGACCCAUCUGUUGCAAUAUAUGGGAAAAUUGUUGGAAGAACUCAAUCCAAUAGAAAUGGUUUAUAGUACUCAUAACAAAUGACCAAUCUAUCGCAACAAAUGGGUUAUCUGUUGGAACAACUGAAUCCAAGUUUUGUGUUCUUCCAAAAGAUGACCAAUCUGUUGCUACAGAUAGAUCAUCAGUUGGAAGAAUUCAAUAAAAAUGGUUAUUAAUAAAAACGAUUAUCAAAAAGGUGAAAAGUCAUAUUUUUUGAUUAUUUAAUAGAAAAAAUAGUUCGUACAUAAAUAAUAAGAAAAAAUGAUAAAUACAAUUUUAAAUUAUAAAAAAACACUUAUUUAAUUUUAAUAACUAAUGUUAAUAUUAAAAGGGCAAAAAGUCAUGACUUUUCACCAUUUUAUAUUUAAAUCUUUUUUUAAUUUAAAUAAUUGAAAAAUCACCAGUUUGAUUUAAUUAAGGGAUAUAAUUAAUAAAAAAGAGGUGAACAAUCGUAACUUUUUGCCUAACACAUUUAAAUUCUAUCCUUUAUAAAUGGGUCCUUACUCGUUCGUCUCCUCCACUUUAUUUAUUUCUUGCAUCCUGUCUUUGUCUUUUAUAAAAACACCAUUACAUAUUCAAUUGCUUCUCUUUCAAAAGCAAAUUCCUUUUUUGUCUGUUGAGGUAUGUUUUAUUUUCUUGUUCAAACAUGAAAAUUAUUAAUGUGUUAUGUUUUUUUUUGUAAAACUACCAGUUUGUAGUAUACAUUAUAUUUUUCUUUUUUAGUGUUUUACGUUUUUUAUUACUACAUGCAUUUUCUAGAUAUGACUGAUUUGGUUUGGGACAUGACGAUUUUGGUUGACACCAUGCGGGGAUUUCAAAGGUUGAUUCAUGAACUCUAGUAGGAGUUGGGUGCCACAUAAGCAAGGGUGCUUUGUGAGAUUCGAAGGCUGAGGGCCCUGCUGCUUCUCAAUGGAUUUUCGGUUGACAAUAAUAAUAAUAAUAAUAGUUAGGCUAUGUUUUUUCUUUUAUUGUAUGUAUUAUGUUUUAUUUGUAUCAAAUAUAUCUACC